This 1414-nucleotide long non-coding RNA is filed under the name Homo sapiens (human). RNAcentral describes it as "long non-coding RNA NONHSAT026210.2". The record is from RNAcentral. Lineage: Eukaryota; Metazoa; Chordata; Mammalia; Primates; Hominidae.
GCUCAGUUAGGGCUCUUGCCACUCCCCAUACUGGCCCCCAUGGCUUGUCUAAAUAGGACCUUGUUUCAACUUUUCUACUUACUGUGACCAGCCAACAGGUGACAUAUUUGUACAGCACAAACUUGCCCCAGAUCAGCAUGUACAUGCAGCGGAACCAGAAGGGGUGGUUCUUGAGGGAAGAAAGCACAGUGCAUUAGGGAUAUCACAUGACUAGGCAGUUUCUCUCAGCACUCUUCCUUUUCACACUUGUGGCUGGCUACUUCAUACCUGCCUGAGUCCUGCUGCCAGAUGCCCUCAAUAGUCUGGCCUGAUUGCCUUCACAAUAGGCAGAGAGGAAUAAGCAGAGGGCCUGGAGAAUAUUCAUUCGCCUUUCCCUUGGAGAGCCUCAAGGGCAGCACUGUAUUUAACUUCUCUACUGUUUGCCUUCGUUGGCAAAGUGUUUGGAAUGAGCAUUUGGAAUGUUAAGUACAGAGGGGCCCAUAUUGGAUUUUAAUUUAAGGAGAGAAACCUGCCCAGAAUUACUGAACUGUUUUCAAGCCUUUCAGCUGGGCAGGAGCAAAAGCCAGCACUUCCCCCCUUCCCUUGGUUUCUGAAUUCCCUAGAAGUGCCCAAAUGUAUCAGUCAAGAGAAGAAAAUAGGAUGGAGAAUCAGAAGCUGCUGUGCUCUGAGGGGUCACGUGGAUGUGAUAAGGCAAGCUAGGAGCGGCUCCUAGAGAAGGCAACGGGUGCUAAAUGUGCACCUGGCACAGCCCUGUGCCCGCGAAGGUUGUUCAGUGCUGGCUGAUGAACAUGUCCCAGCACGGCUGGCAUUGACAACUCACAGAUCUAGAGCAAAACCAACAUGCACUUGUAGAUGAUAUUUCCUACUUCUCUGCUAUCUGUAGGGAUCCUUGCCUGUCCAUUUUCUAGCUCUGGUGCAGUCAUGCUGCUGCUGCUUUAGUAGACACUCACGUCAUAGUCUUCAGUGAGGAGAUAGUCUUCUGUGAUGUGGGGGCUGAGCAGUGUGUAGCCCACUAGGUAGAAAAGGCCCAGACUCAGGCGCUUGAGAGCAGGAAUGAUGCUGGAAAGGAACGAGUGAAGUUCCUGGUCACAGAGAGCAGAGACUAUUCCCUUCACCCUCUGACCUUCAGUUAUGGAGAGGAGUGUUUAGGGGUGUGGUUGUCUACCUGGAAUGGGAUGAGAAGCUCUGCUGCCCAAAGUGUUUCCUGUUUCAGGGAAAGAUUUCUAUGGCUGGCUAUGAGGAAUGGGGACUGCAAACCUCUUAAGAGUUGUAGGAAAGUCAGGGCAGCAGACAGUGGACCAGUCUUGUGUUUACCCCUCAGGGAUGCUACUGAUCUCAAGGUCUUGCCAGGUCUCACAAUCUCCAUUGGGACUGAAAACCCAGUGGAGGUAAGAUAAUAAAAAUAACCACUUUG